GACGAACGCUGGCGGCGUGCUUAACACAUGCAAGUCGAACGGAAAGGCCCUGCUCUUGUGGGGUGCUCGAGUGGCGAACGGGUGAGUAACACGUGAGUAACCUGCCCUUGACUUUGGGAUAACUUCAGGAAACUGGGGCUAAUACCGGAUAGGAGCUCCUGCUGCAUGGUGGGGGUUGGAAAGUUUCGGCGGUUGGGGAUGGACUCGCGGCUUAUCAGCUUGUUGGUGGGGUAGUGGCUUACCAAGGCUUUGACGGGUAGCCGGCCUGAGAGGGUGACCGGCCACAUUGGGACUGAGAUACGGCCCAGACUCCUACGGGAGGCAGCAGUGGGGAAUAUUGCACAAUGGGCGGAAGCCUGAUGCAGCAACGCCGCGUGCGGGAUGACGGCCUUCGGGUUGUAAACCGCUUUCGCUUGUGACGAAGCGUGAGUGACGGUAAUGGGUAAAGAAGCACCGGCUAACUACGUG
RNAcentral lists this ribosomal RNA (468 nucleotides) under uncultured bacterium. RNAcentral describes it as "partial 16S ribosomal RNA". It matches the Rfam family "Bacterial small subunit ribosomal RNA", at positions 28 to 507 of the family's 1533-position model. The record is from RNAcentral.